CCAAGCUUCACUUUGGUCCAUGAGUUGAACUCCAUGCGUGUAUUAAAUAAAAAUGAUGGUGUCCCAAUGCAAUUAUACGUGCGAAUCCAUUACAGCUUGAACUUUAUCGUGUUUCCUGUUUGGUAGCAUGCAAACACACUCAUGAAAUGCGAAAAGAUGUGUCCAGCUCUCGGUUUCUCUUCCUCCAUCUUAUGCAUAAGCUCAACAUUAAUUAUUGAGUUUCAUAUCCAAACUGACGCAAAAGCUGUAAAAUUGAAGCUGUACAAUUUAUUUAUUAUUAUUUUUUUUGGUAAUAACUUCCAUGUGUUGUAUCUCUAAUUAGAUACAAGAGACUUUGGACUUUUGUACCUGCAAAAUGAAAAAACGUUAGUGAGUGUUUUGUUUCGUGAUGCCCUUACGUCCUUCAGUUUCCUUCCCUAGUUUCUUGCCACUCUUAUUCUCAGUUUUGCACAUUGAAGCUUAUCAUCAUUUACGAUCUUUCUGCUCA
Molecule: long non-coding RNA, 487 nt
Filed under: Nicotiana benthamiana
Lineage: Eukaryota; Viridiplantae; Streptophyta; Magnoliopsida; Solanales; Solanaceae
Description: long non-coding RNA (NBEN_LNC036381)
Source: RNAcentral